GAAUUCGCCCUUAGAGUUUGAUCCUGGCUCAGGACGAACGCUGGCGGCGUGCCUAACACAUGCAAGUCGAACGGAGAUGUUUAUUUCGGUAGAUAUCUUAGUGGCGCACGGGUGAGUAACGCGUGAAUAACCUGACCCGAAGAGGGGGAUAACACCUGGAAACAAGUGCUAAUACCGCAUAAGACCACGGACCGGCAUCGGUCAGAGGUCAAAGGAGGAAUCCGCUUUGGGAGGGGUUCGCGUCCCAUUAGGUAGUUGGUGAGGUAACGGCCCACCAAGCCGACGAUGGGUAGCCGAGCUGAGAGGCUGAUCGGCCACACUGGAACUGAGACACGGUCCAGACUCCUACGGGAGGCAGCAGUGGGGAAUAUUGGGCAAUGGGCGCAAGCCUGACCCAGCAACGCCGCGUGAGGGAAGAAGGUUUUCGGAUUGUAAACCUCUGUCGCAGGGGACGAAGGAAGUGACGGUACCCUGUAAGAAAGCCCCGGCUAACUACGUGCCAGCAGCCGCGGUAAUACGUAGGGGGCGAGCGUUGUCCGGAAUUACUGGGCGUAAAGGGAGCGUAGGCGGUCGAUUAAGUUAGAUGUGAAACCCCCGGGCUUAACUUGGGGACUGCAUCUAAUACUGGUUGACUUAGAGUACAGGAGAGGGAAGCGGAAUUCCUAGUGUAGCGGUGAAAUGCGUAGAUAUUAGGAGGAACACCAGUGGCGAAGGCGGCUUUCUGGACUGACACUGACGCUGAGGCUCGAAAGCGUGGGGAGCAAACAGGAUUAGAUACCCUGGUAGUCCAUGCCGUAAACGAUGAUUACUAGGUGUUGGGGGAUUGACCCCCUCAGUGCCGCAGUUAACACAAUAAGUAAUCCACCUGGGGAGUACGACCGCAAGGUUGAAACUCAAAGGAAUUGACGGGGGCCCGCACAAGCAGUGGAGUAUGUGGUUUAAUUCGAAGCAACGCGAAGAACCUUACCAGGUCUUGACAUCCGAUGCAUAGCACAGAGAUGUGUGAAAUCCUUCGGGACAUCGAGACAGGUGGUGCAUGGUUGUCGUCAGCUCGUGUCGUGAGAUGUUGGGUUAAGUCCCGCAACGAGCGCAACCCUUAUUGCCAGUUACUACGUUAAGAGGACUCUGGCGAGACUGCCGUUGACAAAACGGAGGAAGGUGGGGAUGACGUCAAAUCAUCAUGCCCUUUAUGACCUGGGCUACACACGUACUACAAUGGCGUUAAACAAAGAGAAGCAAGACCGCGAGGUGGAGCAAAACUCAAAAACAACGUCUCAGUUCAGAUUGCAGGCUGCAACUCGCCUGCAUGAAGUCGGAAUUGCUAGUAAUCGCGGAUCAGCAUGCCGCGGUGAAUACGUUCCCGGGCCUUGUACACACCGCCCGUCA
Molecule: ribosomal RNA, 1386 nt
Filed under: uncultured bacterium
Lineage: Bacteria
Description: partial 16S ribosomal RNA
Rfam family: Bacterial small subunit ribosomal RNA
Source: RNAcentral